Clupea harengus (Atlantic herring) is the source of this 2262-nucleotide long non-coding RNA. Lineage: Eukaryota; Metazoa; Chordata; Actinopteri; Clupeiformes; Clupeidae. The record is from Ensembl.
GCGCUUGGUGCCAAUCUGAACGCCCUCGUCUUAUCUGUGGUGAACUAUCUCCGUGCCUAGCGGCACCUUUCUCCAUAUCUGUGUGUGUGUGUGUGUGUGUGUGUGUGUGUGCGUGCGUGUGCGUGUGCGCGUGUGUGUGUGUGUGUGUGUGUGUGUGUGUGUUUUCUGUUGUCAUGCUACAGUUUUGCCAUCAUGCUGGGCCUCACUGAUAAAUAAGGUGGAUCAUAAGUAGGUUACUGUAAGGCAGGACCUGGUUGGGAUAGACAGGCUGGCAGAGAGACAAAUGAGUGUGGCUCUUCUCCUCGACGUUGUGAUUUAUUUUUAAACAUGGCAGCCACGCUGAAGAUGUAAGAGCAAGUUUGAGGCUGUUAUUUUUAGGUGGUCAUUUUUUAAGGUGCUGUCAUUCGUGUGUGUGUGUGUGUGUGUGUGUGUGUGUGUGUGUGUGUGUGUGUGUGUGUGUGUGUGUGUGUGUGUGCAUGUGUGUGGGUGUGAGUAUGUGCAUGAGUGUGUGCAUGUGUAUAUAUGUAUGUGAGUGUGUGCGUGCAUGCCUGUGUGUAUAAUGAGCUGUGGACAUGAGGUUGACCCUUUUAUAAUUAGGGGGAACACACAGGGACCUGGUGAGAGGUCCCCAGAAACCCGAUCAGGAAACUCUUGCCUUUUUUUUUCAUUUCUUUAGACCAGCGCUGGUUUUUUCUUCUCUCCCCCCCCCUCACACUCUCGGUUUUAGGGUGCAGUGCGGGAGAGACAGAGCACCCUAAGCACCACUGCAGGAGGAAACUCAAAAUGGCAGCCAGGCUGAGGCAGACUGGGGCAACUCGCUGCUAGUGUUUUUUUUCUUUAAUUUGUUUUUUUUUACAUUUCUUUAAAAAAAUAUAUAUAUUUUGAAUAUACAAUUGACCCUGAGGAGGGCAGGUGUUCUCGAGGUAUUUCACUAAGGGAAUAUGUUAUCCUGUGCCCUUGUCAUAUUUUAAGGUGCACAUUUUCUUCCAUUGUCCUCUUCUUUUUAUUUGUGAGGGAAAGGGAAAUUAUGAGAGCGCAGUGAGAGAGGGCUGAUAAAAUGAUGUCGUGAGAGGUGGUGAACCCCUCUAUGUUCUAGCCACAGACCUCAUCUCGUCUUGCUUCUCCAGGGAUUGCUGUGUUCUCCACAUUGCGGCGUUUUGUCAGUGCGAUGCAGAGAGUAGGCUGUUGGAUAGAUCUAUGCAGAGCCUUGGCAAACACAGACUGCGGUGGGCCAGAUCAGGGCCAGAUCUGAGCCGGGUGUGUUUCAGAGUCGGCUGCUGGUCAUGCAUCAUAUCGUUAGGUGGUCUCCUCAUGUCUACAGGCCAGCUAGCUUGUGGCUGUUUAUCAGAACAACAACCUAACAAAACAAAACCUUCUAACAAAACCUUCAGUUGAUGCUGCACUUUUGUGGUAUUAUGAUACCCAAGGUUCAUUAAAUUGGAUUGGAUUACACAUAUAAUCUGCAGACUGCAUACUGCUGUUGGUUAGCUGGUUACAUAUCUCCACUGUGAUAUUUUAAAAUAUUUGAUAAGAUAUCAUGUUUUUUUUUUUUUAAAGAGUAUGCUGACUAAUUAUCUUUUCAAUUUAAUCAUUUGGGAAAAGAAAUGGACAUUGAGGAAUACUGUUGGGACUUAUUUGAUUUAUACAUUAACAAUUUGCCAGGCCCCUAGUUACACACAUGCCUUUUUGAUGUUUUUCCCCCCUUUAAACGUCCCAUUAGGGUGCGGGUUGCCCAAGGUUUAUUAGGUGCUGUGCUUUCUUCGCUAUCAGCCCUUCCCCAGAAGUGAUUAUGCUAAUUGCUGUUUGAUCAGAUGAUUAAAUUUUAAUUCGAUUAAUCCCGUGCACUAAAUGCUUUGAAUACAUUUGCGUCAGCCUGGCGGCAUGGCAUGAUGGAACCCCUGUCCUCUUGCUCAAGGAAGAGGAAUGGCCUGACGCAGGAAGGGGACGGUUUUUCCCUCAGUGACGGUAGAUGUGCAGUGAGAUUGGUGACGGUAGAUGUGCAGUGAGAUUGGUGGUUUUUCCCUCAGUGAUGGUAGAUGUGCAGUGAGAUUGGUGACGGUAGAUGUGCAGUGAGAUUGGUGGUUUGAAGGGGUAGAGGGUUGGUCCCUUGUUUCUUUAAAAAGCAAAAAGAAAAUGGAGUUGUAUAUAGAAUACAUUUUUUUUAUGCGCUUCGGUUUCAGAGGAUUUCAGAACAUUCACAAACACUUACCUGUUAGCUUCACAGAGAACCUUUGGGGGGCCAUUUUAAAAUGUACUUAGAAU